UGAAUCAUCCACAUCGUGUUGAACGCACCUUGCGCCCUUUGGCAUUCCGCAAGUGGCACACCCGUUUGAGUGUCNUGACAUUCUCAAAACCUUCUUGGUUUCUCGACUGAGAACGGCUUUGGACUUUGGAGGCUUUUGCUGAAGCCUUCCCUUGUUGAAGCCAGCUCCUCUGAAAUGAAUUAGUGGGGUCUGCUUUGCUGAUCCUUGACGUGAUAANAUGCUUCUACGUCUUGGGUUUUGCACUGUCUUGCUCUANAUCCUGCUUCUAACUGUCUUAUAGAAGACAAAUGGUCGACUUGACCCACAAACCUUGACCUCAAAUCGGGUGAGACUACCCGCUGAACUUAAGCAUAUCAAUAAGCCGGAGGAA
Molecule: ribosomal RNA, 370 nt
Filed under: uncultured Russula
Lineage: Eukaryota; Fungi; Basidiomycota; Agaricomycetes; Russulales; Russulaceae
Description: eukaryotic LSU rRNA
Source: RNAcentral